This 345-nucleotide unclassified non-coding RNA is filed under the name Russula sp. Its description in RNAcentral is "partial contains 5.8S ribosomal RNA, internal transcribed spacer 2, and large subunit ribosomal RNA". Lineage: Eukaryota; Fungi; Basidiomycota; Agaricomycetes; Russulales; Russulaceae. The record is from RNAcentral. RNAcentral also lists the same sequence under 3 other names.
AACGCACCUUGCGCCCCUUGGCAUUCCGAGGGGCACACCCGUUUGAGUGUCGUGAAAUUCUCAAAAACCUUUCUUUUGUGAAAGGGUUUUGGACUUGGAGGCUUUUUGCUGGCUUCACCUUGAAGCGAGCUCCUCCCAAAUGAAUCAGUGGGGUCUGCUUUGCCGAUCCUUGACGUGAUAAGAUGUUACUACGUCUCGGGUUCGGCGAUGUCUCUUGGGCACCUGCUUCUAACCGUCUCAUCGACAAUGAUGGCGUUCCGGUCACCACCGUUUCGACGGUCGGGAGGCUUGACCCACCAAAAAAACCUUGACCUCAAAUCGGGUGAGACUACCCGCUGAACUUAA